RNAcentral lists this ribosomal RNA (235 nucleotides) under uncultured bacterium. RNAcentral's name for it is "partial 16S ribosomal RNA". It matches the Rfam family "Bacterial small subunit ribosomal RNA", at positions 1267 to 1500 of the family's 1533-position model. The record is from RNAcentral.
GCAAACCUCAGAAAGCCAAUCUCAGUUCGGAUUGUAGGCUGCAACUCGCCUACAUGAAGUUGGAAUCGCUAGUAAUCGCGAAUCAGAAUGUCGCGGUGAAUACGUUCCCGGGGUCUUGUACACACCGCCCGUCACACCACGAGAGUUUACAACACCCGAAGUCAGUGGCCUAACCGCAAGGAGGGAGCUGCCUAAGGUGGGGUAGAUGAUUGGGGUGAAGUCGUAACAAGGUACC